Molecule: long non-coding RNA, 313 nt
Filed under: Cyanistes caeruleus (blue tit)
Lineage: Eukaryota; Metazoa; Chordata; Aves; Passeriformes; Paridae
Description: lncRNA (ENSCCEG00000018991.1)
Source: RNAcentral
UUGUAUGACUGAGCUGAGAUCUUUGCUCUAGACAGAGGGAAGAGAAGCAAUUAUUAGGCAUUUAUUCCCUAUGGUAGAGCCACACACUGAUACUGGAAGUUCAACUGAAGCACUGCACAGGUCUUGGACAGGGUUUUUCUGACCUUGGAGGAUGUGAAAGGCCAAUAAAAUGUGGUUGUGUGAGAUGUGUUCCAUCUUCCUGGGGAGCAGAAAAUGCAUCUGAAGGAGGUAGAACCCAGCAAGUUUCUGACCUGUCUGCACUGCAAACAUUUAGGUCUCUUUCAAGGUGGAAAGUAUACUGAUUCUUUUCUUC